GAUUAAGUUAUUAAGGGCGCACGGUGGAUGCCUUGGCACUAGAAGCCGACGAAGGACGUUACUAACGACGAUAUGCUUUGGGGAGCUGUAAGUAAGCUUUGAUCCAGAGAUUUCCGAAUGGGGAAACCCAGCACGAGUUAUGUCGUGUUAUCUGCAUGUGAAUACAUAGCAUGCAAG
This 177-nucleotide ribosomal RNA is filed under the name Staphylococcus pseudintermedius. RNAcentral's name for it is "partial 23S ribosomal RNA". It matches the Rfam family "Bacterial large subunit ribosomal RNA", at positions 1 to 176 of the family's 2925-position model. The record is from RNAcentral. Lineage: Bacteria; Bacillati; Bacillota; Bacilli; Caryophanales; Staphylococcaceae.